Actinia tenebrosa (Australian red waratah sea anemone) is the source of this 338-nucleotide long non-coding RNA. The record is from RefSeq and is a predicted model, not a curated record. Lineage: Eukaryota; Metazoa; Cnidaria; Anthozoa; Actiniaria; Actiniidae.
AAAGAGUUUGUAUCAUCCCUAUAUCUACAAAAUAAUAAAAUUUUGUUCAUCGAGGAMGAAAGUUUCGAACACUUGUUUUCACUGAGGAGAAUAAAUUUAGCUGGCAACAUGAUCUUACGUAUUACGGAAAUGAUGUUUUCAAACAAUGUGGAAAAGUUUCUAAUGGGAAAAUCUAACAACGCUUUACAAAACAUUGAUCUAAGAAACAAUAACAUUCAUUUUGUCGAURAAAAUACAUUUCAGUCAAUGGAAGGACUCGAUUAUUUGGAUAUGCGUUACAACAGUCUUACAAACGUGUCCUGGAAAAUUGCUGUUAAAGCAAAACUAACUUCUCUGUA